AUUCUUUUGGUGUGGGUGGAUCUAGCAUUUUUCGUUUUCUGGUCCAUUGGGUCCAGGUGUCCAGCUGCCUCAUCUUCAUGCCGCUUUGACUGAGCAGAGCCGAACAAAAUCCCACCGCUCCUCCCAUUGCUAAAGUUCUUGCCGCGUCUCAGGCUCCGCCGCUAUUACCCCACCUCCAAGCCCCAUCGCCACCUUGGAUUCCUUGGCCUGGGCUCCCUUCCUUUAGUCUUCACGGCUCACCGCGGGGAACUCCGGCCCGGGUCAUACACGGCGUCAAGCUCCCGAUCCUUGGCAAUAUGGGGAUGGGGGCCUGAAGUUCUCUGGGUGGCCGUGACCGCCGUGGGCGACGAAGGGGAUCAACAUGGCUGGUGCGGCCGUGAGCUCCCAGAUGGAGCGGCGCCGGCCGCUGCCUAUGAAUUUCACCGUCGGGGGAGAGCCGCCACAGCGGCUCCUUUUCUCCUCUCUUCCUCCCCACCGACCGCUGCCCGUCACGCUCGACUGCCGGCCGAUCUAAGUCCUACGCAGGCGCAUCGGCGGUAGUGAGGAGCCUUGGGACUACCCGGUAAUCCGGAGACCGGCGGGGACGGCGCGCCAGCUUUGAGGAAGGGGACGGCGUGAAGGGAUGCGCCCCCGGACCUCUACUGAUUCCGCCGCCGAGGCGCGAACACCCUGGCAGUCGAUGAUGCGGCCGCGGCCUCACCCUGCACCAGUCCUCCAGCGUGUGCGCGUAUACGCAGCCGACCCCAGCGGCGGCGACGGCGUGCACACGCGCCGGGUGCCGGCAGGGCGCGAGGCGAAGUCCCUCGGCACGAAGAUCGGUGGGCUCCCGACUAGACGGCCACCUGGAGGCAUUCAAUCGCUCAAAUCUAGCGCCCGAGAGAGGACUUGGGGAGGAUAAAAAGAGGUCGUUUCACAGCGUGGUCCAGCGCUGCAGUGUCGAGCAACAAUGCCCGUGGAUGCCAUGGUCAAGCGCUACGGUGGACGAGUACAUGUACGCAAUGGUUGAGCGACGCUGAUGGGAAUUGAUUGGGGAUUUUGACUGCUGCUCUGCUCCCGUUUUCGCCAGAGGCUGGAUGUUGCUCUAGGAUCUGCCGGCUGGGUCGGGCGGAUUUGCCGUCCGCCAGCGCUGCCGCUGCUCGGAGUUGUUGCUGUGAUGGGAACUGAAGGGUGUGGUGCAGAGUUGUUGGUGGCCGCUGGCUUUGUUUGAUUCGUCCAUGGUUCUGCGGACGUUUUUAUGCUUCAAUGAGUUGUGAUUUCCUGUGAUUCAAUCACUUGGUUAAUUUUUAGUUUGCUGAUUGCUCUUUCGCUGCUGUGGUUUAGCUUUUCGGCCGUGUUUGUUGGCAUAGAUCCUAACUGCUGCUGCAAUCUUUGCCAAAGUGCCGUACGUCUUGAUCUGGCCGAUACUUUUGGCUGAGAGCAACACACAGAGUACAAGCUUCCAGCGACUUGCUUUCUCGCUGAACCUGGACGCAAGCUAACUAACAUGAUGAUUGAUUAAUUGAUCUACUAGCAACACAUGCGAAUCAAUCUGGAUUGCUAGAGGCACAUGUCAUGUCCUUACUUCUUUCUAUUAUUUUCCAAUCGCACAGAUUACAGGGAGGUUACAUAUGUGUAUAAUUAACCUAGCUCUGAAUAACUAGGAUUAUAAUACUAAUUCAUAUUCCCUCCUUUUCCCACGCCAGCCCCUUCUUUGCCCCGUGCUCCUCUCUCCGUUUCUAACUAGAGUUCACUGAUGCUUGGUCUCUGACACGCAGGUCUGCGUGGCUUCCGAUGAUAUGCCAGGUCGCCCCGUGCUGCAACGCCUCCGGAUCGUUAUCUGUAAUGUUUGCAGAGAGGGGCUGAUACAGUUGGUCGGGUAGUUCUCAAGCCGAGGGGAUAAACCUUGGAAGGCUCUAUACCAAGGAAUCUGGAGUUUAUAGUACACAUGUACUUCCUCAUAAACCAAUUGUCGUCCACGUGGACGUCGUUGUCGAUAAUGAAAGCGACGGCGUCUUCGCGGAGGCGGUCAACGGGCACGGUUUUGUCAUCCGCGGUGAUAGUGUCGUAAGUCGAGUCCUUUGUCCUGAACUGGACAUGAAUGGGCGCCAGAGCUGCGGAUGGCCUAGAGUCGCUCUAGCUCGCCACCGCCUUGGUACCCCUGGUGUCCAAGCGAUGUCAGUGAAGGAUCAGCGUGUUGCUAGGUAGUAUUCUGUUAUGUAUAGCCAGAGGUCCACCAAAGAUACAUAAAAAGAUACAUAAGAUUGCACACUAGAAGGUAUAAUCAUACCUUCUAUAUUUCUUACUUACGCUAAUUAUUUCAGUUAAGAUUUUGACCAGAUAUAAAGUACCUGCCAGCAGCAUAGCUGCACAUGCUGAUGUAGAAUCAAAUUUGCAGAGCUUUCAUUGGCAUUGUAGAAGACGAUACAUUGUUCUUUGACUAUAUUGCUGGUUCAACGCUCAAAGUGACCAUCUUCAGGUACAAUGGAUGCGAGAAGAUCUAGGACCACUGUACUUAGAGAUCAACGUGAAAUAACCUUUUGUUCAUCGGUAUAGCUAUCCAUGCUAUCGCUUAUAUAUAAUAAUAGUUCUUCUCUCUUACUCUCUGAGAUUACCAAUUGAUCAUCCAUUGUAGAAUGAUGAUCAAUAUACAGUACCAAGUAUUAUUACUAGACUAAAUUAUUACUAGACUAAA
Lolium perenne is the source of this 2671-nucleotide long non-coding RNA. RefSeq lists it as uncharacterized. NCBI's taxonomy places the organism in Eukaryota, Viridiplantae, Streptophyta, Magnoliopsida, Poales, Poaceae. The record is from RefSeq and is a predicted model, not a curated record.